This is an unclassified non-coding RNA of Ictidomys tridecemlineatus (thirteen-lined ground squirrel), 69 nucleotides long. Lineage: Eukaryota; Metazoa; Chordata; Mammalia; Rodentia; Sciuridae. The record is from Ensembl.
CAGCUCCUUGUUCAGAUCUGUGUCCAAAUGAUUUCCUGUACUUGCAGGGGACAGGUGGGGUUUCAGAAG